Small nucleolar RNA from Labrus bergylta (ballan wrasse), 132 nucleotides. The record is from Ensembl. NCBI's taxonomy places the organism in Eukaryota, Metazoa, Chordata, Actinopteri, Labriformes, Labridae.
UGCCUUCAUGUGUUGCCCUUUCAGUGUUCCCAUCAUGAAUCGGGUGUCAGCGAAGGCAUACAGUGAGACUUGUGGUUGUCUUUUGGAGGGUCGUCUGCGAUCCUCCUGUCAGGAUCAGCCACAAGGACACGU